RNAcentral lists this ribosomal RNA (505 nucleotides) under uncultured bacterium. RNAcentral describes it as "partial 16S ribosomal RNA". It matches the Rfam family "Bacterial small subunit ribosomal RNA", at positions 28 to 507 of the family's 1533-position model. The record is from RNAcentral.
GACGAACGCUGGCGGCGUGCCUAAUACAUGCAAGUAGAACGCACAGUUUAUACCGUAGCUUGCUACACCAUAGACUGUGAGUUGCGAACGGGUGAGUAACGCGUAGGUAACCUGCCUGGUAGCGGGGGAUAACUAUUGGAAACGAUAGCUAAUACCGCAUAAUAUUAAUUAUUGCAUGAUAAUUAAUUGAAAGGUGCAAUUGCACCACUACCAGAUGGACCUGCGUUGUAUUAGCUAGUAGGUGAGGUAACGGCUCACCUAGGCGACGAUACAUAGCCGACCUGCGAGGGUGAUCGGCCACACUGGGACUGAGACACGGCCCAGACUCCUACGGGAGGCAGCAGUAGGGAAUCUUCGGCAAUGGACGAAAGUCUGACCGAGCAACGCCGCGUGAGUGAAGAAGGUUUUCGGAUCGUAAAGCUCUGUUGUAAGAGAAGAACGGGUGUGAGAGUGGAAAGUUCACACUGUGACGGUAUCUUACCAGAAAGGGACGGCUAACUACGUG